GGAAUAUUGGUCAAUGGGUGAGAGCCUGAACCAGCCAUGCCGCGUGCAGGAAGACGGCCUUCUGGGUUGUAAACUGCUUUUACCAGGGGAUAAAAUGACCUUGCGAGGUUAAUUGAAGGUACCUGGAGAAUAAGCCCCGGCCAACUACGUUCCAGCAGCCGCGGUAAUACGUAGGGUGCAAGCGUUGUCCGGAUUUAUUGGGUUUAAAGGGUGCGUAGGCGGGCUAUUAAGUCAGUGGUGAAAUCCAGCAGCUUAACUGUUGAUGUGCCAUUGAUACUGGUGGCCUUGAGUACAGAUGAGGUAGGCGGAAUUGACAGUGUAGCGGUGAAAUGCAUAGAUAUUGUCAAGAACUCCGAUAGCGAAGGCAGCUUACUGGGCUGUAACUGACGCUGAUGCACGAAAGUGUGGGGAUCAAA
This 416-nucleotide ribosomal RNA is filed under the name uncultured bacterium. RNAcentral's name for it is "bacterial SSU rRNA". It matches the Rfam family "Bacterial small subunit ribosomal RNA", at positions 358 to 772 of the family's 1533-position model. The record is from RNAcentral.